This is a long non-coding RNA of Phyllopteryx taeniolatus (common seadragon), 8706 nucleotides long. RefSeq lists it as uncharacterized. Lineage: Eukaryota; Metazoa; Chordata; Actinopteri; Syngnathiformes; Syngnathidae. The transcript is spliced from 3 exons. The record is from RefSeq and is a predicted model, not a curated record.
UUCGGAUGCCUCUCGGACGCCUCCCUGGUGAGGUGUUCCGGGCACGUCCCACCGGGAGGAGACCCCGGGGACGACCCAGGACACGCUGGAGAAACUACGUCCUUCAGCUGGCCUGGGAACGCCUCAGGAUCCCCCUGGAAGAGAUGGAUGAAGUGGCUGGGGAGAGGGAAGUCUGGGCGUCCCUGCUAAAGCUACUGCCCCCGCGACCUGACCUCGGAUAAGCGGUAGAAAAUGGAUGGAUGGAUGGAUGCAUUACAUGGAUCGGAUCAGCCAACAUUCGACUACUAAGUUCUCCUGGCUUCUACUGACCUCUACUGGCCUCCAGUGGUGUUAAUAUGCUACGUCACACUAACUAUUGUUAUGCUGCAUUCACACCAGAUGCGUUUUGGGCAUUUCACGUGGCGUGAUUCCAUAAGAAGUCAAUGCAGUUCGCACGGAUAGAUGCAAAUCCGUGCCGGGUGGCGGGGAUGCGAAAAUUCGGCUCCUUUGCCCGUUCGCUUGAAGCUGGGAGAGUUGAACUACAAGCCACAUUCGUGUCAUGACAGCCAAUCAGCAUUGAGAAUUCUUACGUCACAGACAGCGUCCUGUACAGUUGUUGAGUAGAGGAAAAAUCAUCCUUGCUGUGUGUGGACACCCGGAGCUGUACAAUUCAGCCUGUUACAACUACCUGGACAGAACCAAAAAGGAGCAGGCUUGAAAAAUGGCGAGUGAGGAAGUUGGUGUUCCUGGUAAGUGUAUUUAUUUACUUAUUUACAGCUGUCAAACUGUGAACCAAGAUGGCAAUAGUUAGCCAAAGUUAGCACAACCACCGGCCACGUUUGACUAUUGAUGUUCAUACAUUAAUUUCUGUCAGAUGACGUGCCACAAAAAGUGGAAGGGACUCAGGGACACGUACUUGAGGGAGAGGAAGAGCAAGAAAAGUGAAGUUGCUCGGCAGCAAGAACAGGCAAGAGGUGGAAGUACUCUGCGGUCCCCCUUUGUGUCCCCAAGAUAGACGAGUGGGAACAUGGGGUGGGGGGUUGAGGAAGAGGGUACCGCAGAGUACAGCGGUGCUAGUGCUGAGGGAAUGGCACUAGAAGACGAGGAGGCAGGGCCAUCACCUGCGAGAGGAGAAGAUGAGGUGGAGGAUGAGGAUGGUCAGGCUGAGGAACAGGAGGCUGCUGCUGCCGCCGCAGCUGCCCCUGCUGCAAGACUGCCUGGUGUAUAUGCAUUGCAUGGAUCAGCCAACAUUCGACUACUGAGUUCUCCUGGCUCGCAGGAAGUUGUGGAGAACACAGGUGGCCUUCACACACUUCUCCGCAACUUGGUGAUGAACUUCCAUGACACGCCUAUACAUCCUCCACUGGGCAGAGAGUAUCCCGAAGGCAUUCUCCACCAUCAGCCGAGCUUGGGAGAGACGGUAAUUAAACAUCCGUCGCUUGGGCGGAAGAAUGCGUCCGGGGAAUGGUCUCAACAAAUUUCUCCGGAGCGGAAAAGCCUCAUCAGCAACAAAGACAUAUGGCUGGGGUCCUCGUUGGUCAGCUCCUGGUAGUGGCCGUUCUGUAGGCAGUUGGAGGGUGCCGGAGCGCAGUGCUUGACCAAAAGCUGAGUUAGACAGAAUCCCACCAUCACUGGUUCUUCCAUAGCCCUCGACAUCUAUGACCCUGAAACAUUUUUCAGCAUCUACAACUGCCAAGAGAACAAGCGAGUAUGUUCCCUUGUAAUUAUAAAACUGUGAUCCAGAGUUGGCGGGGGCUUUGAGGACCACAUGUUUUCCAUCUAGAGCACCACAGCAAUGAGGGAAAUUCCACUGCUUCUCAAACCUCUCUGCAAUGGAGUUCCACUCCUCUGUGGUGGACACAGCCAUGAAUUUUUACACUAGAAAGUCCCAAAUUGCUGUUGCCACAUCGGGGACAAUCUUGGAUACAGUGGAGAACCCAACACGGAAACUGUUGGCAAUGGUCCUGAACGAGUCACCUGUGGCAAAGUAUCUGCAAUACAUAACACAUUAAAUUGACCAGAGUCAUAAUGAAGAUGCUGUAGUAAUCUACAAAACAUACAGUUGUGCUAAAUAAUUUUGGCACCCCAUGAGCAUGACUGUAAUAUGUCUUAUAUAUAUUUGUCUCAAAAUAAUCCUCUCCCUAUUCUGGCUUUUAUCAUUCAUUAAUUCAAUUUCCAUACCGUUUAUCCUCACUAGGGUUGCGGGCAUGCUGGGGCCUAUCCCAGCUAUCUUCGGGCGAGAGGCGGGGUCCACCCUGAAUUAGUCGUCAGCCAAUCGCAGGGCACAUAUAAACACUCAGAUUCACACCUACGGGAAAUAUAGUCUUCAAUCAACCUGCCACGCAUGUUUUUGGGAUGUGGGAGGAAACCGGAGUACCUGGAGAAAACCCACGCAGGCACGGGGAGAAUAUGCAAACUCCACACAGGCAAUUUGAGCCCUGGUCCUCAGAAUUGUGAGGCAGAUGUGUUAACCAGUCGGGCACUGUACUGCCUGGCUUUUAUCAAAUAGAAAUAAUUCUGUUAAACCUAACUGACCUAAAACAGGAAAGGUUUACUCUGAUUUCUGAGUCAAGAAAAAAAAACCAUUGUGUCUUCUUAUUCAAUUAUGGCUAAAGGUAUUGGCACUCAUGGGGUGCCAAUAUUUUUGAGUCCAACUGUACCAAUCAUAAAUUCAUGAAAAGUCAUCUACACAUUUAAAACAUCAUCAAAAAUCAUAAUUGGUCUACAUACACAAACCGUAAUCAUACAUUCAUAAUGAAUCAUAAAGAGAUGAAUACAUCGAACAUAAACACAAAAACAUGUUGCUAUUAGUUGUGCCAUUUUUCUUUUGGCUGUAUAGCUGCUUUCAAAAAUUACAAUCAUAAUGAAUUCCAGUGACUUUAUUCAUAUAUUUUAUAUGUGUGUAUUUAACUACAGAUGAGAUAAUUUGAUCAAUCCAGACUCCAUUAGUUCCACACUUUUCAUCAGUUCAUUUUUUUUUACUAUUUGGCACCUUGUUAACAUCCUUUGGAUACAUUUGUUUAGUAAUUCUGUAAUGAACCUGCCAUGAGAUUCAGUCGAUUGAAUGACUAUUUAUUUAUUGUGAGAUACCAAACAAAACUGCCACUCACCGGAGACAAACGAACAGGCGUUCCGCAGCUGAGCUAGAACGCCUGUAGUUGGUGUCCAUGCAUGCGAUCCUGGCACCGAUACGAGCCAACAGGUGGUCAAACUGGGCACUGCUGCUGGAAGCGGCAGUCAUCCAGAUGCAGUUUUUGGAGAAGGCGGUGGAAUUCUCCCAGUUGUGUGUGCCUCUGGAUGGUGUUGUGUAUCAAUAAACGACGGCGUUUGGCGUUCGGACAUUUGGACUUCUUCCACAACAUGUACAGAGCCACAUUGCAGGUCGUGUUGUCGUCCAUUGCUGCUAGUUUGAAGUAUGUCAAAAAAACAAGGAAUUUGUCUCUCGUAGUUGGAGCUACUCUAGUAUGACAAUUGACAGUCAUUUUGACAAAAAAAUACUUUUUAGACAUAAAAACAUAAAAACACACAAUGGAGAGUCCUUUAGCCUCUAACAAUUUAAUGCAAGUGGGAAGAAGCUGUUGGAAUGUCUGCUUGUUUUAGUUUGCAUUGAUCGAUAGCGCCGACCUGAGGGAAGGAGCUGAAAGAGGUGGUGACCAGGAUGUGGAGGAUCCAAGAGGAUUUUGCAUGCUCUUGUCUUAGUUCUGGCAGCGAGCAAGUCGUCAAGGGUGGGUAGGGGGUACCGACGAUUUUGUAGGCAGUCCGGAUUGUCUGUUGCAGUCGGAGUUUGUCCUUGUUUCGUGGCAGCAUCAAACCAGACUGUGAUGGAUGAACACAGGACUGAUUCGAUGACUGCUGCAUAGAACUGCCAUAACAGCUAUUGUGGUAGGCCGUGCUUCCUCAGAAGCCGCAGGAAGUAUAUACUCUGCUGGGCCUUUUUCAGGAUGGAGUUGAUGUUGGUCUCCCACUUCAGGUCCUGAGAGACUGUAAAGGCUUCUUUAUACUCGCGCGGACACCGACCACGCUGACGUCACUGCGGCUGUAUUGCGCGCAGUUUGCCUUUAUACUCGAGCGCAACCCACGCGCGCUGUUUUGGAAGUGUGCUCCAGUUCUCCUCCAAGUCGGGGGUGUCGCUACGGCUGGUAUUGGAUAGGACACCAGAGCGUGGAGUUUCCUCUGCAUUUUUUUUUUGCCAAUUCCAGUAGCCGUUUUUACUUUCAGUAACAAGGAACAAAGCAACAACAAUGGCGACCGCGACAGAACAAAUGGACCUAGAUGACCAGAUGAUACAUUUAAUUAUGCUGCAAAAUCGAUCGAGAAGGCGGCGACGUAGAUGGUAUGUAGAACCAAUGGGCAAGCUGGUACGUCAUCACAGCAUGUGACUAAAUCGGACCAAUCACGAGAGAUGAUCUCCCCGGCGUUCAUCGCGCAGCAACUAUUUUUGUCGGGUAUGCGGCAAGCUACGCAGAGGUGCUGCGCGGGGCGAUUCGUCGGUCACGUGAUGCAAUGCGGGUGUUAUCGGCCGCGCGAAAGCGGGAGUAUAAAGAGGCCUUAAUCCCAGGAACGUGAAGGUUUUGACGUUUGACACAGUUGUUUGGGGGAAUAUUUGCCCAGUUGAGCAAAGAAUUUUGUCUCUAUGGGAACUGUUGUAACACGUAAGAACUCUGCAUUGAAAUAAAAAGAGCUUUGAAUAGCAAUGCGACAAGGGGCCACCAUCUUUGUGGAAUUUUCUAAAAACAUGGAAUGAACACUUGAAAUGCCUCUAAAAUCGUCCAUAACAAAUAAAUUCCUGAAAAACAAUUUAUGACUUAAGUACAUGACCUGCUAUACUUCCCAUACAGCUCUUUUUCACCAAUAAUGUUCCAUUCAUGCUAUUGAAGUCAACUUUUUGGUUGUUGAUUUCCUGAAGCUAAAAGAAAUUACAUUAAUAGUUGACACAUUUGAUGGCUGAUAUUCAACAUUCAUUUACUAACCGGCCAGGUGGCUUGCACUCUCCUGACACAGUGUGUCGGAUUCGUGGUCUGAAAAUGACGUCCAUUUAAUGACAGAUACAUGUUUAGAAACGAAUGACUUUGAACUAACAGUAACGUGACCAAAUCUUUUUCUUAACAAUGUUCGUCGAACCCCUCCGUCCAAAUCCGUAAUGGUGGGAAUACACUCGUCGCCAGACUCACCAGAUGUUUUAACCAAUGUGCAUAUGCAACUCACAAUCAGUCGAAGAAAAUUCAUUGGUCUUAAUGAAACAUUUCACUUUGCUGCCCUCCUGCAAAUUUUUAUUUACAGUGAAGUAAAAAAAAAAAAAACUUCACGUUAAAUGAGCAAACUAACAUUUUUCAUAAUUAGAAUUUAAAAAAUAACAUGAAAGGAAUGGCAGCUUUGUUAUACUUUUUCAGUGUGCUCACAAAAAGCCACUUAACACUUCAGCUCACAGGCGCAAAUGUUGAAUUACCAACUGUCAAACUGCUGUCAGAGUAAAACAACAAUCACUCCUCACCAACAGCUCAUUGAAUCAACACACUUGAGUCCUUUGGUCCGCAGGUUCUAUCAGCAACCAUGUCGUCAGCGGUCAACACUCAAUAUUAUUCAUUUUGCCAUCUUACCUGACUGGUGAUUAGGUACAAUUUGUAAAGUGUCUCAUGCUGAAAAUAACAGCAACAUUUUGUCACAUUUAGCUUUAGGCAAUAUUUGAAAAACUUUUUUGCACGUUUACAACAAAAUGUGUCAACUGAACGAUAUAUUACAUAGUUAAAUACAAAUAAAUGUUACCUUGCCUCUCUGCCUCAUGUUUUUUGGAUACUGUUGCCUUUUCGGCUUGCCUGCCUGUGUACCGACCUCUGCCCGUUUAUUAAACCUCUCUUUUUGAAACUGUCCAUUUGAAUUGGAGUCGUGCAUUUUGGGUCCUGUCCUUUGUUCCGUUCAUGACAGAACGAACUGGCCAUAACAUGGACCCAGCAGACUCAGACCCGGUGCGCAAAGACCUUCAAGCGCAGGGUCAACGCAUCUCAAAGCAGGAUGAGCAGCUCGCUGCCCUCCACCUUCAUCUAAAGGGACUGUCAGAGCAUCAGGACAGACAGGUGGCCUCACAGUUGGAAUUUCGAAUAAAUAUGGUUCGGAAGAAAGAACCAGCUGGCACAGCACCGGAUGCCGCCACUGUACUGCCGUUUCCAUGUGAAGCAGUCACCAUGCCGCCACCUGCCACCUCCGCUGCGGUCUGCCCACAGCUCUCUCGAACGGAAAGGAUCUCUGGAGAUUCUGGGAACAUUAAGCCAUUUAUCACUCAGUGCGAACUCCACUUUGAGCUGCAGGCAGCUGCCUUCCCCACCGAGCGGGCAAAGAUCGCUUUUGUCAUUUCCCACCUGACUGGUCUUGCAGAGGUGUGGGCUACUGCUGAAUGGAGCCGCAAUUCCGCCACGUGUCAUUCUUGGGCUUCUUUCGUAAAAGACUAUCGAGCAAAUUUUUCAGUUUUCCAUGCCAGAUCGCGAGGCAGCUCGCUCCCUUGUCACCUUACAACAAGGCAAGCGCAGGGUGUCAGAUUACGCGAUUGAGUUUCGCAUUGUAGCAGCUGAGAGUCAGUGGAACAACAGGGCACUACUCGAUGCAUUUUUUCAAGGAUUAUCCCCCGCCGUCAAGGAUCAUUUGGUCCCACUAGACCUGCCGACCGACUUGGACACUCUCAUCGCUCUUGCCGUGAAGAUCGACAAAAGGCUUUUGGAUCGCAAGCUGGACGGAGAUCAGCGGAAGGAUGCGUCACCGCGCACUUGGAGGACAAGCCUCGGUGACCAGCCAAACAAAGGCAGAUCCCCUAUGUCAAUCCACUGGCUAGCGUCACCACGGAUGAACCCAUGCAACUGGGCAGGUUCCGUCUCUCCCCUGAGGAACGUCAACGCCGGCUGAAGGAAGGGCGGUGCUUCUACUGUGGGCAGUUGGGUCAUUCCGUGAGCAAUUGUCACGUCAAGGUUGCCGGUGCCGGUACCAAGGGUACGGGAGCGGUGAGUCUAAAUUUCAUUAAGGAAAACCCUACCCGGGUUCUUCCUAAAGUGACACUAUGCUCUCCUGAUCAAGAGAUUCAUGCACCUGUAUUGAUUGACUCUGGUUCUGACGCAAACUUACUCAACUCCCUCCUCGUUAGACGGAUGCACCUUAGAACCUUUCAAGUAAGGCGCCACCGCAACACUUAUGCUGCAGACGGCAGUUUUAUGGGCAAGAUCACUCACCGAACCCAAACACUCACAUUGACAUUUCCUGAUUCUCACUCGGAACGUAUUAGUUUUCAUGUUUUUGACGCCAUGAAUUAUUACCUUACUUUAGGGAACCCUUGGUUGAAAUUACGUAACUGAUCCUCUGGGCAUGUUAUGUCAUGGGGCCAUAAUUGCACCCAGAACUGUUUCAAGCCUCCAUGUAAUGUUCAGGGAUAUGUUUCUAAUGAAAUUCCAAAGACCCCAUCGGGGGAUCCUGACUUAUCUCAAGUACCCACCUGUUACCAUGACAUGAGAGAUGUUUUUUCCAAAUCCAAGGCCAAAUCCCUUCCCCCCACAGACCUUAUGACUGUGCAGUUGACUUGCUGCCUGGAACCACACCUCCACGGGGGAGGUUGUUCUCUCUUUCAGGGCCGGAACACAAGGCCAUGAAGGAGUACGUGGACGAAUCAUUGGUAGCCGGGAUUAUUCGCCCAUCUUCAUCCCCUGCGGCAGCAGGAUUUUUCUUUGUGGACAAAAAGGACAAUACCCUGCGACCCUCUUUCGAUUACCGGGGUCUCAACGAGAUAACAGUGAAAAACAGGUACUCCCUUCCUCUCAUCUCCACCGCCUUUGAGUUCCUGGAGGGAGCCAAGGUUUUCAUCAAACUAGAUUUAAGAAAUGCAUAUAAUCUAGUCAGGAUAAGGGAGGGGGAUGAAUGGAAAACAGCAUUCAACAUACCAACGGGACAUUACAAGUAUUUGGUGAUGCCUUUUGGACUAACUAAUGCUCCAGCUGUGUUCCAGAACUUUGUCAAUGAUGUCCUGUGUGACAUGUUGAAUGUGUAUGUUUUUGUAUAUUUGGACGAUAUUUUGAUAUUCUCCCCGGAUGAGGAGACUCACAUUAUUCAUGUCCACUCUGUGUUGCAGCGGUUACUGCAGAAUUAACUUUAUGUUAAGGCUGAGAAAUGUGAGUUCCAGAAGGUGUCUGUUUCUUUUCUGGGUUUCGUGCUGGCUCAAGGUGAAGUCAAAAUGGACCCUUGCAAGGUCGAUGCGGGUCCACCCUGCAUUUCACGUUCCAGCAUUCCUUGUUUCCACGUCACCGACUCAUAGUAAGACUAGAACCUGUUCUGAUUUUUUACCUUGCCUCUUUGCCUCACGUUUUUUGGAUACUGUUGCCUUUUCGGCUUGCCUGCCUGUGUACCGACCUCUGCCCGUUUAUUAAACCUCUCUUUCUGAAACUGUCCAUUUGAAUUGGAGUCGUGCAUUUUGGGUCCUGUUCUUUGUUCCGUUCAUGACACAUAUUACAGCGUAAAUAACUCCCUGAAAUAACAAACACAUUUGGAGAACCUUUUUUUGCUGAGUACUUUGAGUUCUUACUGCUGUAGCGGACACGCUAUGAAAAGAUGACACCCAGCACCCCAGUCUCCGGCAGACUUGCUCUUCCCACCGAGAUAGAUGACCACGGAGUGCCGAGACGUAACUUCACUUACAGACGCUAAAUUCAUCAACAGCCAUAAUCAACAGAAGCAAGACACAGACAUUUGCUUUGGCAG